CCCGGGUCUUGUACACACCGCCCGUCACACCAUGGGAGCGGGAUGUACCAGAAGUAGGUAGGCUAACCGGCAAGGGGCCGCUUACCACGGUGCGUUUCGUGACUGGGGUG
Molecule: ribosomal RNA, 110 nt
Filed under: uncultured bacterium
Lineage: Bacteria
Description: partial 16S ribosomal RNA
Rfam family: Bacterial small subunit ribosomal RNA
Source: RNAcentral